AACGAACGCUGGCGGCAUGCCUAACACAUGCAAGUCGAACGAUCCCUUCGGGGAUAGUGGCGCACGGGUGCGUAACGCGUGGGAACCUGCCCUUAGGUUCGGAAUAACUCAGAGAAAUUUGAGCUAAUACCGGAUAAUGUCUUCGGACCAAAGAUUUAUCGCCUUUGGAUGGGCCCGCGUUGGAUUAGCUAGUUGGUGGGGUAAAGGCCUACCAAGGCGACGAUCCAUAGCUGGUCUGGGAGGAUGAUCAGCCACACUGGGACUGAGACACGGCCCAGACUCCUACGGGAGGCAGCAGUGGGGAAUAUUGGACAAUGGGCGAAAGCCUGAUCCAGCAAUGCCGCGUGAGUGAUGAAGGCCUUAGGGUUGUAAAGCUCUUUUACCCGGGAUGAUAAUGACAGUACCGGGAGAAUAAGCCCCGGCUAACUCCGUG
RNAcentral lists this ribosomal RNA (433 nucleotides) under uncultured bacterium. Its description in RNAcentral is "partial 16S ribosomal RNA". It matches the Rfam family "Bacterial small subunit ribosomal RNA", at positions 29 to 507 of the family's 1533-position model. The record is from RNAcentral.